UACGAAGGGGGCUAGCGUUGUUCGGAAUUACUGGGCGUAAAGCGCACGUAGGCGGGUUGUUAAGUCAGGGGUGAAAUCCUGGAGCUCAACUCCAGAACUGCCUUUGAUACUGGCAACCUAGAGACUGGAAGAGGUUAGUGGAAUUCCCAGUGUAGAGGUGAAAUUCGUAGAUAUUGGGAAGAACACCAGUGGCGAAGGCGGCUCACUGGUCCGGUACUGACGCUGAGGUGCGAAAGCGUGGGGAGCAAACAGGAU
This 255-nucleotide ribosomal RNA is filed under the name uncultured bacterium. Its description in RNAcentral is "partial 16S ribosomal RNA". It matches the Rfam family "Bacterial small subunit ribosomal RNA", at positions 524 to 778 of the family's 1533-position model. The record is from RNAcentral.